This 163-nucleotide ribosomal RNA is filed under the name Thalictrum dioicum (early meadow-rue). RNAcentral's name for it is "5.8S ribosomal RNA". It matches the Rfam family "5.8S ribosomal RNA". From Rfam's summary of the family: 5.8S ribosomal RNA (5.8S rRNA) is a component of the large subunit of the eukaryotic ribosome. It is transcribed by RNA polymerase I as part of the 45S precursor that also contains 18S and 28S rRNA. Lineage: Eukaryota; Viridiplantae; Streptophyta; Magnoliopsida; Ranunculales; Ranunculaceae. The record is from RNAcentral.
UGAACGACUCUCGGCAACGGAUAUCUCGGCUCUUGAUCGAUGAAGAACGUAGCGAAAUGCGAUACUUGGUGUGAAUUGCAGAAUCCCGUGAACCAUCGAGUCUUUGAACGCAAGUUGCGCCCGAGGCCUUCUGGUCGAGGGCACGUCUGCCUGGGCGUCACGC